Molecule: long non-coding RNA, 558 nt
Filed under: Mus caroli (Ryukyu mouse)
Lineage: Eukaryota; Metazoa; Chordata; Mammalia; Rodentia; Muridae
Description: lncRNA (MGP_CAROLIEiJ_G0002439.1)
Source: RNAcentral
GUGUAACAAGACAGCUGCCAAAACGCACAACUUGUGACUCUCCAUUGAGAAGUCCACACCUGGCCUUUUAAAGAGGGGCUCCGGUGAGGAGCUUGCACCUACGCCUUUCUGACAGCCUUUCUAUUAACACCACCUCUGCUUCACCGGCUGCUCUCGUCAAUCUUUUCAACAUCAGUGCCAGGAAAUACGGGUUUGCCAGAAUUGAAGUUCCCCCAAAAGAUCGAGGCUCCUCCUCCGGCUGCGGCAGGCUACUGCUUAAAGAGCUGUCACUCCGUCCCAGUCCCUGCUGACAGCCCGGCGGUGUGGGGAACGGGAGGACUUUUCAAGUAACCCCUGAAAAGCAUCACACGGCGGGAACCAGAAGCCUCAGUCCCAUCCUUGGGCAGUGACUUUGGGGGAAUAAGUAAUCUCUGUCUCUCGAGUAGGAACUGUGCCGAUCUCACGGGUCUGAGGAUUGGCUAGCCCGUGUAGAACACUGGGAAAGGCGUCCUAUGGCCGGCUAGGCUGCCGCCCCCUUGGAUGCUGUGGUUGUAAGGUGGGUGACCGACCGACAUCACU